Molecule: long non-coding RNA, 1141 nt
Filed under: Homo sapiens (human)
Lineage: Eukaryota; Metazoa; Chordata; Mammalia; Primates; Hominidae
Description: non-protein coding lnc-JPH1-11:1
Source: RNAcentral
UGGGCAUUGUGGUGCCUGCCUGUAAUCCCAGCUACUCAGGUUAAGGUGGAAGGAUCACUGGAGCCCAAGAGGUUGAGGCUGCAGUGAGCCAUGAUCACUUUAAUGAAGUAAAGAUGUGAUUGAGACUGCCAGACUUACUUCAUUGUCUUUAUCUUUAGUAUAUUCAUUGCUGUUUACACUUCUUUCUAAGAAAAAAUGUAAUAUGUUUUGUAUAUUCAACGGUGUAGCCUUUCUCAAAUAUGGGACAAUGGAGAGGAUAACUCUUAAGCUGGAGAGUGAGGGUAUCUUAGUGAUUAAAUGCAUGCAUGGGCUUGAAAAUCAGAGUCACCUGGUAUUUGAGUGCAGGUGAUGACAUUACCUGAGCACAUAAAAAGAUAUAAGAACAAUUAUAUCUAUAAGAUAUAAUAUAGGUGCAAUUCUGAAUUAUGUUUACACUAUGAGUAAUUUAAAGUAUGUUUCUGGCUCACUGGUUUCCUAAUUCUAAAAUUUUCAUACUUUUAUCAUGCUGCUGAGUUUCAUGAAAAUAUAGUAUUCUGAAUUGUCAGUACAAAAAGUGUCCUUAACUUUGACCUUCUUAAUGGAAUUCACGGCAGCAUUCAUUACCUCAAUUGUUCCACAUCAGACAAAAAUAAACUUCUAAGUCUCUACAUUGAUUCUAUAAAUUGAUGAAAAAAUUAUCAAAUUAUUAUUAAAAUUAGCUUAGGUGAUUAUUACUUUUAGCACCUGAUAGCUUUGAUAUAAAACUGGCAUUAUCUAACUCUCUAUAAAGUUCUUCUUUUGCUAAAGGACCUAACAUUCUAUCAACAACCAUUUCACAGGUGGGGUGCAGUGGCUCAUGCCAGUAAUCCCAGUACUUUCAGAGGCUAAGGCAGGUGGAUAUCUUGAGCUCAGGAGUUUGAGACCAGCCUGGGCAAUAUGACAAGACCCCACCUCUACUAAAAAUACAAAAAAAAAAAAAAAAAAACCCAGCCAGGUAUGGUGGUGUGCACCUGUGGUCCCAGCAACUCAGGAGGCUGCGGUGGGAAAAUCUCUUGAGCUCAGGGGGUGGAGGUUGCAGUGAGCCGAGAUUGCACCACUGCACUCCAGCCUGGGCCACCAAGUGAGACACUGUCUCAAAAAAAAAAAAAAAAGGGACCUUAAA